CCUACGGGAGGCAGCAGUGAGGAAUAUUGGUCAAUGGACGAGAGUCUGAACCAGCCAAGUAGCGUGAAGGAUGACUGCCCUAUGGGUUGUAAACUUCUUUUAUAUGGGAAUAAAAUGUUCCACGUGUGGGAUUUUGUAUGUACCAUAUGAAUAAGGAUCGGCUAACUCCGUGCCAGCAGCCGCGGUAAUACGGAGGAUCCGAGCGUUAUCCGGAUUUAUUGGGUUUAAAGGGAGCGUAGGUGGAUUGUAAAGUCAGUUGUGAAAGUUUGCGGCUCAACCGUAAAAUUGCAGUUGAAACUGGCAGUCUUGAGUACAGUAGAGGUGGGCGGAAUUCGUGGUGUAGCGGUGAAAUGCUUAGAUAUCACGAAGAACUCCGAUUGCGAAGGCAGUUCACUGGACUGCAACUGACACUGAGGCUCGAAAGUGUGGGUAUCAAACAGGAUUAGAUACCCGUGUAGUC
RNAcentral lists this ribosomal RNA (460 nucleotides) under uncultured bacterium. RNAcentral's name for it is "partial 16S ribosomal RNA". It matches the Rfam family "Bacterial small subunit ribosomal RNA", at positions 338 to 795 of the family's 1533-position model. The record is from RNAcentral.